UUAUCAUUUAGAGGAAGGAGAAGUCGUAACAAGGUUUCCGUAGGUGAACCUGCGGAAGGAUCAUUGUCGAUACCUGCCCAGCAGACAGACCCGCGAACACGUCCCGACACGCCCCGGGAGAAGGGGGCGGGAUCUCCUCCCGCCCCCCGGCCCCGGUGGGCCGGGCGCCAUCCGUGGCUCCCGGCCCGAACACAAACACCGGCGCGGACAGCGCCAAGGAACAUCACAACGGAACGGGCGUGCGCCGCCGUGCCCUCGGCGCGGCGUGCCUCGUCCACAAUCCGAAUCUUACGAACGACUCUCGGCAACGGAUAUCUCGGCUCUCGCAUCGAUGAAGAACGUAGCGAAAUGCGAUACUUGGUGUGAAUUGCAGAAUCCCGUGAACCAUCGAGUCUUUGAACGCAAGUUGCGCCCUAGGCCACCGGGCCGAGGGCACGCCUGCCUGGGCGUCACGCAUCGCGUCGCCCGCCCACCCCCGCCCCCCGUGGCGGGACGUGUGCGGAGCGGAGUCUGGCCCCCCGUGUCCCCUCUGGGGCGCGGCCGGCCCAAAGGCAAAGGCCCCCUGUGUGGCGAGCGUCACGACGAGUGGUGGUAGAAGCCACUGUGCCAUUAGUCCGGACGUCGUGCCCGCGUCGCCCCGCCCCGGGAGCCGACGACCCUGAAGAUGCGCUACGGCGCUCCGACCGCGACCCCAGGUC
Molecule: ribosomal RNA, 698 nt
Filed under: Grevillea obtecta
Lineage: Eukaryota; Viridiplantae; Streptophyta; Magnoliopsida; Proteales; Proteaceae
Description: eukaryotic LSU rRNA
Rfam family: 5.8S ribosomal RNA (bases 297-452)
Source: RNAcentral